AUUGAACGCUGGCGGCAGGCCUAACACAUGCAAGUCGAGCGGAUGAAGGGAGCUUGCUCCUGGAUUCAGCGGCGGACGGGUGAGUAAUGCCUAGGAAUCUGCCUGGUAGUGGGGGAUAACGUCCGGAAACGGGCGCUAAUACCGCAUACGUCCUGAGGGAGAAAGUGGGGGAUCUUCGGACCUCACGCUAUCAGAUGAGCCUAGGUCGGAUUAGCUAGUUGGUGGGGUAAAGGCCUACCAAGGCGACGAUCCGUAACUGGUCUGAGAGGAUGAUCAGUCACAAUGGAAAUGAGAAAAGGGCCAGAAUCCUAAGGGAAGCAGGAGGUGGGAAUAUUUGAACAUUGGCGAAAGGCUGAACCAGCCAAGCCGCGUGUGUGAAGAAGGUCUUCGGAUUGUAAAGCACUUUAAGUUGGGAGGAAGGGGAGUAAGUUAAUACCUUGCUGUUUUGACGUUACCAACAGAAUAAGCACCGGCUAACUUCGUG
RNAcentral lists this ribosomal RNA (484 nucleotides) under uncultured bacterium. RNAcentral describes it as "partial 16S ribosomal RNA". It matches the Rfam family "Bacterial small subunit ribosomal RNA", at positions 30 to 507 of the family's 1533-position model. The record is from RNAcentral.